RNAcentral lists this ribosomal RNA (465 nucleotides) under uncultured Klebsiella sp. Its description in RNAcentral is "bacterial SSU rRNA". It matches the Rfam family "Bacterial small subunit ribosomal RNA", at positions 338 to 795 of the family's 1533-position model. Lineage: Bacteria; Pseudomonadati; Pseudomonadota; Gammaproteobacteria; Enterobacterales; Enterobacteriaceae. The record is from RNAcentral.
CCUACGGGUGGCUGCAGUGGGGAAUAUUGCACAAUGGGCGCAAGCCUGAUGCAGCCAUGCCGCGUGUGUGAAGAAGGCCUUCGGGUUGUAAAGCACUUUCAGCGGGGAGGAAGGCGGUGAGGUUAAUAACCUCAUCGAUUGACGUUACCCGCAGAAGAAGCACCAGCUAACUCCGUGCCAGCAGCCGCGGUAAUACGGAGGGUGCAAGCGUUAAUCGGAAUUACUGGGCGUAAAGCGCACGCAGGCGGUCUGUCAAGUCGGAUGUGAAAUCCCCGGGCUCAACCUGGGAACUGCAUUCGAAACUGGCAGGCUAGAGUCUUGUAGAGGGGGGUAGAAUUCCAGGUGUAGCGGUGAAAUGCGUAGAGAUCUGGAGGAAUACCGGUGGCGAAGGCGGCCCCCUGGACAAAGACUGACGCUCAGGUGCGAAAGCGUGGGGAGCAAACAGGAUUAGAUACCCGUGUAGUC